GGAAUUUUCCCCAAUGGGCGCAAGCCUGAGGGAGCAACGCCGCGUGGGGGAAGAAGCGUUUCGGCGUGUAAACCCCUUUUCCACGGGACGAAGGAAGUGACGGUACCGUGGGAAGAAGGCCCGGCUAACUACGGGCCAGCAGCCGCGGUAAUACGUAGGGGCCAAGCGUUGUCCGGAGUUACUGGGCGUAAAGGGCGCGCAGGCAGUGGGUUACGUCGUGUGUGAAAGUUUCCGGCUCAACCGGAGAAGGUCGCGCGAAACGGGCUCACUGGAGGCAGGGCGAGGGCGGUGGAAUUCCCGGUGUAGUGGUGAAAUGCGUAGAGAUCGGGAGGAACACCAGAGGCGAAGGCGGCCGCCUGGACCUGACCUGACGCUGAGGCGCGAAGGCGUGGGGAGCGAAC
RNAcentral lists this ribosomal RNA (401 nucleotides) under uncultured bacterium. RNAcentral's name for it is "bacterial SSU rRNA". It matches the Rfam family "Bacterial small subunit ribosomal RNA", at positions 358 to 773 of the family's 1533-position model. The record is from RNAcentral.